UACGUAGGGUGCAAGCGUUGUCCGGAAUUAUUGGGCGUAAAGAGCUCGUAGGUGGCGGGUCACGUCGGGUGUGAAAGCCCGGGGCUUAACCCCGGGUCUGCAUUCGAUACGGGCCUGCUAGGGUCCGGCAGGGGAGACUGGAAUUCCUGGUGUAGCGGUGAAAUGCACAGAUAUCAGGAGGAACGACCGGUGGCGAAGGCGGGUCUCUGGGCCGGUACCGACGCUGAGGAGCGAAAGCGUGGGGAGCGAACAGG
This 254-nucleotide ribosomal RNA is filed under the name uncultured bacterium. Its description in RNAcentral is "partial 16S ribosomal RNA". It matches the Rfam family "Bacterial small subunit ribosomal RNA", at positions 524 to 776 of the family's 1533-position model. The record is from RNAcentral.